CUUAGAGGUUAAGCCCGAUGAACCUGAAUAUCCAUUAUGAAAAAUUCAUCAUUAUACCUGUGAUAUUAAUUUAUUAAUAUUAUAUGGAUAGUGUGCAUUUUUUUCAUAUAAGGACAUUGUGAUCUAUUAACAUAAAAAAUAUUUAUCAAAAGAUCAUUGGUGUUAAGUUUAUUUUAAUUAAUUUGCCUUUAGAGCAUAUUAAAAUGAAAUAAAUGCAAAUGAUUUGAUAAAGUGUUAAUAGAUUUAUUAUAUAUAAUGCUUAAAUCUCCAUAAGAUUUUACAAUAAUAUUAAAAUCUAUGAUUUUAUAUAUUUAUUGUAUGCAUU
Molecule: ribosomal RNA, 325 nt
Filed under: Piestometopon distinctum
Lineage: Eukaryota; Metazoa; Arthropoda; Insecta; Diptera; Tephritidae
Description: partial 28S ribosomal RNA
Source: RNAcentral